AGAGUUUGAUCCUGGCUCAGGACGAACGCUGGCGGCGCGCUUAACACAUGCAAGUCGAGCGAUAACCAUGGCUUCGGCCAUGGGGAGAGCGGCGAACGGGUGAGUAACACGUGAGUAAUCUGCCCUCGACACUGGGAUAGCCCGGGGAAACCCGGAUUAAUACCGGAUAGCCUCUCGAGCUUUCGGGCUCGUGAGAAAAGAUGGCUUCGGCAUUCGGUUGAGGAGGAGCUUGCGGCGGAUUAGCUUGUUGGUGAGGUAACGGCCCACCAAGGCGACGAUCCGUAGCUGGUCUGAGAGGACGAUCAGCCACACUGGGACUGAGACACGGCCCAGACUCCUACGGGAGGCAGCAGUGGGGAAUCUUGCGCAAUGGGCGAAAGCCUGACGCAGCGACGCCGCGUGAGGGAAGAAGGCCUUCGGGUUGUAAACCUCUUUCAGUAGGGAAGAAGCGAAAGUGACGGUACCUGCAGAAGAAGCGCCGGCUAACUACGUGCCAGCAGCCGCGGUAAUACGUAGGGCGCAAGCGUUAUCCGGAAUUAUUGGGCGUAAAGAGCUCGUAGGCGGUUUGUCGCGUCUGCCGUGAAAGUCCGGGGCUCAACUCCGGAUCUGCGGUGGGUACGGGCAGACUAGAGUGAUGUAGGGGAGACUGGAAUUCCUGGUGUAGCGGUGAAAUGCGCAGAUAUCAGGAGGAACACCGAUGGCGAAGGCAGGUCUCUGGGCAUUAACUGACGCUGAGGAGCGAAAGCAUGGGGAGCGAACAGGAUUAGAUACCCUGGUAGUCCAUGCCGUAAACGUUGGGCACUAGGUGUGGGGGACAUUCCACGUUUUCCGCGCCGUAGCUAACGCAUUAAGUGCCCCGCCUGGGGAGUACGGCCGCAAGGCUAAAACUCAAAGGAAUUGACGGGGGCCCGCACAAGCGGCGGAGCAUGCGGAUUAAUUCGAUGCAACGCGAAGAACCUUACCAAGGCUUGACAUGAACCGGAAAUACCUGGAAACAGGUGCCCCGCUUGCGGUCGGUUUACAGGUGGUGCAUGGUUGUCGUCAGCUCGUGUCGUGAGAUGUUGGGUUAAGUCCCGCAACGAGCGCAACCCUCGUUCUAUGUUGCCAGCGCGUUAUGGCGGGGACUCAUAGGAGACUGCCGGGGUCAACUCGGAGGAAGGUGGGGACGACGUCAAAUCAUCAUGCCCCUUAUGUCUUGGGCUUCACGCAUGCUACAAUGGCCGGUACAAAGGGUUGCGAUACUGUGAGGUGGAGCUAAUCCCAAAAAGCCGGUCUCAGUUCGGAUUGGGGUCUGCAACUCGACCCCAUGAAGUCGGAGUCGCUAGUAAUCGCAGAUCAGCAACGCUGCGGUGAAUACGUUCCCGGGCCUUGUACACACCGCCCGUCAAGUCACGAAAGUUGGUAACACCCGAAGCCGGUGGCCUAACCCCUUGUGGGAGGGAGCUGUCGAAGGUGGGACUGGCGAUUGGGACUAAGUCGUAACAAGGUAACCGUAA
Molecule: ribosomal RNA, 1496 nt
Filed under: uncultured bacterium
Lineage: Bacteria
Description: bacterial SSU rRNA
Rfam family: Bacterial small subunit ribosomal RNA
Source: RNAcentral